This 403-nucleotide ribosomal RNA is filed under the name bacterium. RNAcentral describes it as "partial 16S ribosomal RNA". It matches the Rfam family "Bacterial small subunit ribosomal RNA", at positions 355 to 776 of the family's 1533-position model. The record is from RNAcentral.
UGGGGAAUCUUGCACAAUGGGGGAAACCCUGAUGCAGCGACGCCGCGUGAGCGAUGAAGGUUUUCGAAUCGUAAAGCUCUGUCCUAUGGGAAGAUAAUGACGGUACCAUAGGAGGAAGCCCCGGCUAACUACGUGCCAGCAGCCGCGGUAAUACGUAGGGGGCGAGCGUUGUCCGGAAUUACUGGGCGUAAAGGGUUCGCAGGCGGCAUGACAAGUCCGAUGUAAAAGGCGAAAGCUCAACUUUCGUAAGCAUCGGAAACUGUCAAGCUUGCGUGAAGGAGAGGCAAGUGGAAUUCCUAGUGUAGCGGUGGAAUGCGUAGAUAUUAGGAGGAAUACCGGUGGCGAAGGCGACUUGCUGGACUUCAACUGACGCUGAGGAACGAAAGCGUGGGUAGCAAACAGG